UGGAAAAUUGUCAGAGUGGUUUAAUGGGCUGGCUUAAUAAGCUAGUGAGUGUAAAAGCUCCACAGGUUCGAGUCCUGUAUUUUCCAAC
This 88-nucleotide transfer RNA is filed under the name Clostridium beijerinckii. RNAcentral describes it as "tRNA-Ile". It matches the Rfam family "tRNA". Rfam says of the family: Transfer RNA (tRNA) molecules are approximately 80 nucleotides in length. Their secondary structure includes four short double-helical elements and three loops (D, anti-codon, and T loops). Lineage: Bacteria; Bacillati; Bacillota; Clostridia; Eubacteriales; Clostridiaceae. The record is from RNAcentral.